UGCCACGGCUGGGGACGGGAGGAAAUGAUGGCUUGGAAUCCCGACUGAACCAGACUGCUGAGGGGCUGCCCCAAACAGACGGGGCCUCUGCAGACGAUGCAGGACAGCGGGCCCUCCACCUGGAACUGGACAUCCUGGGGCGCCAGACCACCCCCUCCCCCGACUGAAUGCCCGUUUUCAGAGGAUGAGGGGCUGGUGGGAGCGACAGUCAGUGGGCAGCCGGAGCCCUGCCCGCUGGGGUGCACGUGCACGCCUCGAAAUGUCCUCCCCUCGCCGGGCUGGACCAGGCUCGAGGGAAGAGACUGGCUUGCCAUGAGCCACCACAGUGGAAAACGGGAGAGUGACAGAGCGCUGUCCCCAGCUGGAGGCAGGAGUCCAGCCACGCUCCAGAGCGGAAGCCCAGGCACCCCAACUCUGCCCUGCCCCUCGGAGCUCGGGCCAGGCCUCUCCCUCCUCCUCUCCCUCCAUCCCAGCUCCUGGGAUAGAAAACGACAGCCUGCGCGACAAGGGGACGAGCCUUCCUUGCUAACAAACCCAUCCUACGGCGGUGACACGUUUCAAAAGGAGCAGAGAAUUACCUUCCAGGAAGCCAAGUGAGAAUGGGGACUCCUAGGGACAGAACUGGGGGCAGCUGUUUCACCACUGUACCGCUGAGCCUGGGAGCGCAACUGGCACACGCAGGGUGAACCCAGUCGCCUCCCCUUGGAACCAGAUGAAGCCCCAGAGGCACGUGGUCCUUGUUCCCAGAUGGGGGUCCUGCUCAUGUUUCCUUGGGAAUGAGGACUUAAGCACGGGAUCUCUGGGACCCCCACCCCACACUCUGGCCCGUGGGAAGGACUUGUGCACCAGGAUUCAGGGCAGGUUCGCCUCAACCACGGAGAUCUGCUGCGGCUGACACCAGCCACCCACCUGGGCCCGAGAGAGCACCCCUCCCGACCCCCAGCUCAGUCUGCAGCCUCCACCCGGGCCAGACCCAGCUGAUGGGAAUAUCUGGCGGACACACUUCCAGAACAAGCAGCAAUUAGAGUAGAUGUUCUCUUCCACUCCCCCUCCUCAAAACAGGAAUGAAUUAGUUCAACCAAUUUCCCAGCUAAUGAUUUCCUCCAUUAAAUUAAAA
This is a long non-coding RNA of Sciurus carolinensis (gray squirrel), 1117 nucleotides long. RefSeq lists it as uncharacterized. The record is from RefSeq and is a predicted model, not a curated record. Lineage: Eukaryota; Metazoa; Chordata; Mammalia; Rodentia; Sciuridae. The transcript is spliced from 3 exons.